RNAcentral lists this ribosomal RNA (496 nucleotides) under uncultured bacterium. RNAcentral describes it as "partial 16S ribosomal RNA". It matches the Rfam family "Bacterial small subunit ribosomal RNA", at positions 28 to 506 of the family's 1533-position model. The record is from RNAcentral.
GACGAACGCUGGCGGCGUGCCUAAUACAUGCAAGUAGAACGCUGAAGAGAGGAGCUUACUCUUCUUGGAUGAGUUGCGAACGGGUGAGUAACGCGUAGGUAACCUGCCUUGUAGCGGGGGAUAACUAUUGGAAACGAUAGCUAAUACCGCAUAACAAUGGAUGACACAUGUCAUUUAUUUGAAAGGGGCAAUUGCUCCACUACAAGAUGGACCUGCGUUGUAUUAGCUAGUAGGUGAGGUAAUGGCUCACCUAGGCGACGAUACAUAGCCGACCUGAGAGGGUGAUCGGCCACACUGGGACUGAGACACGGCCCAGACUCCUACGGGAGGCAGCAGUAGGGAAUCUUCGGCAAUGGGGGCAACCCUGACCGAGCAACGCCGCGUGAGUGAAGAAGGUGUUCGGAUCGUAAAGCUCUGUUGUAAGUCAAGAACGGGUGUGAGAGUGGAAAGUUCACACUGUGACGGUAGCUUACCAGAAAGGGACGGCUAACUACGU